This 411-nucleotide ribosomal RNA is filed under the name uncultured Rhodococcus sp. RNAcentral describes it as "bacterial SSU rRNA". It matches the Rfam family "Bacterial small subunit ribosomal RNA", at positions 338 to 761 of the family's 1533-position model. Lineage: Bacteria; Bacillati; Actinomycetota; Actinomycetes; Mycobacteriales; Nocardiaceae. The record is from RNAcentral.
CCUACGGGGGGCAGCAGUGGGGAAUAUUGCACAAUGGGCGGAAGCCUGAUGCAGCGACGCCGCGUGAGGGAUGAAGGCCUUCGGGUUGUAAACCUCUUUCAGCAGGGACGAAGCGUGAGUGACGGUACCUGCAGAAGAAGCACCGGCUAACUACGUGCCAGCAGCCGCGGUAAUACGUAGGGUGCGAGCGUUGUCCGGAAUUACUGGGCGUAAAGAGUUCGUAGGCGGUUUGUCGCGUCGUUUGUGAAAACCCGGGGCUCAACUUCGGGCUUGCAGGCGAUACGGGCAGACUUGAGUGUUUCAGGGGAGACUGGAAUUCCUGGUGUAGCGGUGAAAUGCGCAGAUAUCAGGAGGAACACCGGUGGCGAAGGCGGGUCUCUGGGAAACAACUGACGCUGAGGAACGAAAGCG